This 492-nucleotide ribosomal RNA is filed under the name uncultured bacterium. RNAcentral's name for it is "bacterial SSU rRNA". It matches the Rfam family "Bacterial small subunit ribosomal RNA", at positions 28 to 507 of the family's 1533-position model. The record is from RNAcentral.
GAUGAACGCUAGCUACAGGCUUAACACAUGCAAGUCGAGGGGAAACGACAUCGAAAGCUUGCUUUUGAUGGGCGUCGACCGGCGCACGGGUGAGUAACGCGUAUCCAACCUGCCCACCACUUGGGGAUAACCUUGCGAAAGUAAGACUAAUACCCAAUGAUAUCCCACGAAGGCAUCCGAAUGGGAUUAAAGAUUUAUCGGUGAUGGAUGGGGAUGCGUCUGAUUAGCUUGUUGGCGGGGUAACGGCCCACCAAGGCAACGAUCAGUAGGGGUUCUGAGAGGAAGGUCCCCCACAUUGGAACUGAGACACGGUCCAAACUCCUACGGGAGGCAGCAGUGAGGAAUAUUGGUCAAUGGGCGAGAGCCUGAACCAGCCAAGUAGCGUGCAGGAUGACGGCCCUAUGGGUUGUAAACUGCUUUUAUAAGGGAAUAAAGUGAGUCUCGUGAGACUUUUUGCAUGUACCUUAUGAAUAAGGACCGGCUAAUUCCGUG